RNAcentral lists this ribosomal RNA (403 nucleotides) under uncultured bacterium. Its description in RNAcentral is "partial 16S ribosomal RNA". It matches the Rfam family "Bacterial small subunit ribosomal RNA", at positions 30 to 526 of the family's 1533-position model. The record is from RNAcentral.
AUUGAACGCUGGCGGCAGGCCUAAUACAUGCAAGUCGAGCGAGCGGCGGACGGGUGAGUAAUGUAUGGGGACUGCCCGAUAGAGGGGGAUAACUACUGGAAACGGUAGCUAAUAACGCAUACUAUCGGCUAACCCAAAUGGGAUUAGCUAGUAGGUGAGGUAAUGGCUCACAUAGGCGACGAUCCCUAGCUGGACUGAGAGGCUGAUCAGCCACACUGGGACUGAGACACGGCCCAGACUCCGACGGAGGCAGCAUUGGGGAAUAUUGCACAAUGGGCGCAAGCCUGAUGCAGCCAUGCCGCGUGUAUGAUGAAGGCCCUAGGGUUGUAAAGUACUUUCAGUAGGGAGGCGUUACCGACAGAAGAAGCACCGGCUAACUCCGUACCAGCAGCCGCGGUAAUUC